CCGUGAAAGCGUGGCCUAUCGAUCC
Molecule: small nuclear RNA, 25 nt
Filed under: Arabidopsis thaliana (thale cress)
Lineage: Eukaryota; Viridiplantae; Streptophyta; Magnoliopsida; Brassicales; Brassicaceae
Description: snRNA_11345
Source: RNAcentral